Molecule: transfer RNA, 66 nt
Filed under: Chloeia sp. r EEE-2022
Lineage: Eukaryota; Metazoa; Annelida; Polychaeta; Eunicida; Amphinomidae
Description: tRNA-Ala
Source: RNAcentral
GGCGCCCUAGUUUAAUCUAGAACCUCUAACUUGCACUUAGAAAGUAGAGUUUUUCUCUGAUCGCCA